Molecule: transfer RNA, 62 nt
Filed under: Megalobenedenia derzhavini
Lineage: Eukaryota; Metazoa; Platyhelminthes; Monogenea; Capsalidea; Capsalidae
Description: tRNA-Gln
Source: RNAcentral
UAUAAUAAGGUGUUUUAAGCAUAUUGUAUUUUGGUUGCAAAGGAGAGUAGUUUCUAUUAUAU